CGAACGGUAACAGGUCUUCGGAUGCUGACGAGUGGCGAACGGGCGAGUAAUACAUCGGAACGUGCCCAGUAAUGGGGGAUAGCUCGGCGAAAGCCGGAUUAAUACCGCAUACGCCCUGAGGGGGAAAGUGGGGGAUCGCAAGACCUCACGUUAUUGGAGUGGCCGAUGGCUGAUUAGCUAGUUGGUAGGGUAAAGGCCUACCAAGGCGACGAUCAGUAGCUGGUCUGAGAGGACGAUCAGCCACACUGGGACUGAGACACGGCCCAGACUCCUACGGGAGGCAGCAGUGGGGAAUUUUGGACAAUGGGGGAAACCCUGAUCCAGCAAUGCCGCGUGUGCGAAGAAGGCCUUCGGGUUGUAAAGCACUUUUGUCAGGGAAGAAAUCCUUUGGGCUAAUACCCUAGGGGGAUGACGGUACCUGAAGAAUAAGCACCGGCUAACUACGUGCCAGCAGCCGCGGUAAUACGUAGGGUGCAAGCGUUAAUCGGAAUUACUGGGCGUAAAGCGUGCGCAGGCGGUUGUGUAAGACAGGUGUGAAAUCCCCGGGCUUAACCUGGGAAUUGCAUUUGUGACUGCACGACUAGAGUGUGUCAGAGGGGGGUGGAAUUCCACGUGUAGCAGUGAAAUGCGUAGAUA
Molecule: ribosomal RNA, 636 nt
Filed under: uncultured beta proteobacterium
Lineage: Bacteria; Pseudomonadati; Pseudomonadota; Betaproteobacteria
Description: bacterial SSU rRNA
Rfam family: Bacterial small subunit ribosomal RNA
Source: RNAcentral